Molecule: long non-coding RNA, 343 nt
Filed under: Homo sapiens (human)
Lineage: Eukaryota; Metazoa; Chordata; Mammalia; Primates; Hominidae
Description: non-protein coding lnc-EXOC2-26:1
Source: RNAcentral
UUCACUGUGUUAGCCAGGAUGGUCUCAAUCUCCUGACCUCGUCAUCUGCCUGCCUCGGCCUCCCAAAGUGCUGGGAUUACAGGCUUGAGCCACCUCGUCCGGCCGGCUGUGGAGUCUUCUGCUUCCAGAUGUGCCACUGACUUUCUAACUGGCCCGAGUGAGGUCACUUACCCCGAAGCCUGAUUGACAGCCCCUCCCCUGGAGUGCGUUGUGAACACUGAAAGUAGUGUCAGUGAAGGGCUUGGUUUCUCUCCAGCAAGAAAACUUGCUGUGCACAGUGCAAAGUCCAAAGACUUGAAGAUACUUCAGAGGUGACACUCCCCCCGCCAAAGACUUCCAUGAA